Molecule: long non-coding RNA, 263 nt
Filed under: Elaeis guineensis (African oil palm)
Lineage: Eukaryota; Viridiplantae; Streptophyta; Magnoliopsida; Arecales; Arecaceae
Description: long non-coding RNA (EGUI_LNC058876)
Source: RNAcentral
CCCAUGAUCAAUCCCUCAUGCACAAACACAAAUUUUAGAUCUUAAAAUUAAAUUUUAGAUCUAAAUUCUUUGAAUAAAAAUUAAUUUUUGAUUUUAAAACUAAUUUUAGAUCUCAACAUACAAUCAUAUGUCAUAUAUAUGAAUUAAAAUUCUGGUUUUGAUCUAAAUUUCAUAUUUUGACAUGCCAUCAUAUAUCUCAUACAUGAAUUAAAUUCAGAUCUAAUUAAACUCCAGAUCUUGACAUGCCAUCAUAUAUCUCAUAC